Molecule: long non-coding RNA, 1249 nt
Organism: Rhagoletis pomonella (apple maggot)
Lineage: Eukaryota; Metazoa; Arthropoda; Insecta; Diptera; Tephritidae
Exons: 3
Source: RefSeq, a predicted model, not a curated record
UUUAGUCCACCAACGACCUAACAACGCGAAGGUUGUGUUUUUUCGAUUUGUUUGCGAAAGUAAAUCGUGAAAUCGUCGUGUUAAUUACAUACAAUACGUACUAAAAGAGUGCGAGUGCGUUGACUGCAGAAAAUCUACUUACUUACUUGUUAUACUAUUGUGUGAAGACCACUUUUUGGAGGAAAAAGAAAUACAAUACUUAGAAAAAUAUUUGGUGUGAAAAGAAAAAUAUUUGGAAAAGUUUUGAAAAAAGUCGGGUGUUUGAAGCAAAUAAACUACUGGUGUGCGUAAAAAAGUUUUUAAGAAAUUAUCAAAUUAAAAAAAAAAACAAUUCCUGUAAAAAAGUAUAAACUCCUUUAAGGAAAAAAUAUUUGAAAAAAGUGCGCCAUACAAAAGUGAAAGAGUCAAAACUUCUAAAAUUCAAGCAAUCCAGAAAUUUAUACGGAAAAGUGAUACAAGUGCGGAAGCUGUACAGUUUUAUUUUGUAUCUUAUUAAAAAAUAGUGAGCUACAAAACUAGAAAAGUUUUUAUCAAAUACUUAUCUAUAUAAUAUAAAAUAUUAAUUUGAAAAAUAGCAACAACUAACCCUCGUUUAGAUUUCUUUUCAAGUGAAAUAAUUUAUUCUGAGGAAAAAGUUAGACACUCCAUUUUAAAAUAAAAAAUAAUUUAAAUAAAAAUAAUAAUUUUGUGCAAACCAGCCCAAAAACAACCAAAAAUGAGUGUAAAGUGUUAACGAAAUAUUUAUAACCAACUGUAAAAUCCCCAAAUUCUGCGGUCAGCAACCAAGCAAAAACACUUGGAAAUCAUCGGCCAACGAAGAAGUCUAGUGAACACAACUGAAAAUUUCCAUUAAUUUAACGGCGACUUAAUCAUCAAACUAAAAUGUUGCUGUUGUCGCUGAUUUUGACGCUUUCGCUAGGAUUGGCAAAUGGAGCCAUAUUACCAGGUGAGUUUACACCAUAAAAGAUUGCACCAACGACAUUCCUUUGGACAAAGGCAAAUCCAACCAGAUAGCAGUGAAGUAUUUAAAAGAUAAAUAACCGCUUAGCUAAGCGCUUAACUACAUAAGCGCCUAAGCAUCUAAGCAUUGGUGUGUGUCUGGCAUGAGUGGAGCGUUUAAAUGCUUACGGCCUGACACGCUACUAAGUGGCGCACUUCAGACGUUGCCAACAAAACUGACACUUCAGAGCGAAAAAAAUUCUAAAGAUAACCCCGAAGGAGUGAAAAAGAAGAAAAAGAAAAUUUAAGU